ACGACCGUACCGCAAACCGACACUGGUGCGCGAGAUGAGUAUUCUAAGGCGCUUGAGAGAACUCAGGAGAAGGAACUCGGCAAAUUGACACCGUAACUUCGGAAGAAGGUGUGCCUUUAGUAGGUGAACCUGUACAAGGGGAGCCCAAUGAGGUUGCAAAAAAUCGGUGGCUGCGACUGUUUAAUAAAAACACAGCACUCUGCAAACACGAAAGUGGACGUAUAGGGUGUGACGCCUGCCCGGUGCUGGAAGAUUAAAUGAUGGGGUGCAAGCUCUUGAUUGAAGUCCCAGUAAACGGCGGCCGUAACAAUAACGGUCCUAAGGUAGCGAAAUUCCUUGUCGGGUAAGUUCCGACCUGCACGAAUGGCGUAACGAUGGCCACACUGUCUCCUCCUGAGACUCAGCGAAGUUGAAAUGUUUGUGAUGAUGCAAUCUCCCCGCGGAAAGACGGAAAGACCCCAUGAACCUUUACUGUAGCUUUGUAUUGGACUUUGAACAGAUCUGUGUAGGAUAGGUGGGAGGCUUUGAAGUGUGGUCGCUAGAUCGCAUGGAGCCAACGUUGAAAUACCACCCUGGUGUGUUUGAGGUUCUAACCUAGGCCCGUAAUCCGGGUCGGGGACAGUGCAUGGUAGGCAGUUUGACUGGGGCGGUCUCCUCCCAAAGCGUAACGGAGGAGUUCGAAGGUACGCUAGGUACGGUCGGACAUCGUGCUAAUAGUGCAAUGGCAUAAGCGUGCUUAACUGCGAGACUGACAAGUCGAGCAGAUGCGAAAGCAGGACAUAGUGAUCCGGUGGUUCUGUAUGGAAGGGCCAUCGCUCAACGGAUAAAAGGUACUCUGGGGAUAACAGGCUGAUACCGCCCAAGAGUUCAUAUCGACGGCGGUGUUUGGCACCUCGAUGUCGGCUCAUCUCAUCCUGGGGCUGUAGCCGGUCCCAAGGGUAUGGCUGUUCGCCAUUUAAAGAGGUACGUGAGCUGGGUUUAAAACGUCGUGAGACAGUUUGGUCCCUAUCUUCCGUGGGCGCUGCAGAUUUGAGGAAGCCUGCUCCUAGUACGAGAGGACCGGAGUGGACACACCUCUGGUGUAUCGGUUGUCACGCCAGUGGCAUUGCCGAGUAGCUAUGUGUGGAAGAGAUAACCGCUGAAAGCAUCUAAGCGGGAAACUCGUUUCAAGAUGAGAUCUGCCGGGGCCUUGAGCCCCCUAAAGAGUCGUUCAAGACCAGGACGUUGAUAGGUCGGGUGUGGAAGCGCAGUAAUGCGUUAAGCUAACCGAUACUAAUUGCUCGUGCGGCUUGACC
This 1295-nucleotide ribosomal RNA is filed under the name metagenome. Its description in RNAcentral is "bacterial LSU rRNA". It matches the Rfam family "Bacterial large subunit ribosomal RNA", at positions 1638 to 2925 of the family's 2925-position model. The record is from RNAcentral.